Molecule: ribosomal RNA, 253 nt
Filed under: uncultured bacterium
Lineage: Bacteria
Description: partial 16S ribosomal RNA
Rfam family: Bacterial small subunit ribosomal RNA
Source: RNAcentral
UACGUAGGGGGCUAGCGUUGUCCGGAAUCAUUGGGCGUAAAGAGCGUGUAGGCGGCCCGGUAAGUCCGCUGUGAAAGUCGGGGGCUCAACCCUCGAAUGCCGGUGGAUACUGCCGGGCUAGAGGAUGGUAGAGGCGAGUGGAAUUCCCGGUGUAGCGGUGAAAUGCGCAGAUAUCGGGAGGAACACCAGUAGCGAAGGCGGCUCGCUGGGCCAUUCCUGACGCUGAGACGCGAAAGCUAGGGGAGCGAACAGG